Molecule: ribosomal RNA, 253 nt
Filed under: uncultured bacterium
Lineage: Bacteria
Description: partial 16S ribosomal RNA
Rfam family: Bacterial small subunit ribosomal RNA
Source: RNAcentral
UACGUAGGGGGCAAGCGUUGUCCGGAUUUAUUGGGCGUAAAGAGCGUGUAGGCGGCCAGGUAGGUCAGCUGUGAAAACUCGAGGCUCAACCUCGAGACGUCGGUUGAAACCACCUGGCUAGAGUCCGGAAGAGGAGAGUGGAAUUCCUGGUGUAGCGGUGAAAUGCGCAGAUAUCAGGAAGAACACCCGUGGCUAAGGCGGCUCUCUAGUACGGUACUGACGCUGAGACGCGAAAGCGUGGGGAGCGAACAGG